UAAGAGGUCGUGCCUGCCCUGUGAGUUAGUUUAACGGCUGCGGUAUCAUGACCGUGCAAAGGUAGCGCAAUCACUUGUCUCUUAAAUGGAGACCCGUAUGAAUGGUGUGACGAGGGCUUAACUGUCUCCUUUUUCAGGUCAAUGAACUUGAUCUUCCCGUGCAGAAGCGGGAAUUUAUACAUAAGACGAGAAGACCCUAUGGAGCUUUAGACAUAGAGGUAGUUCAUGGACACUAUACCUUUUAAAGAAUUAAACAAGCCGUGUUACCUGCCUCUCAUCUUUGGUUGGGGCGACCGCGAAGAAAAAUUUAUCCCUCGCGACGGACUGGGAGGAUUCUCCUAAAACCAAGAGCGGCAGCUCUAAGCAACAAAACUUUUGACUCUACAGAACCGGUUCAUAAACCGAUCAACGGACCGAGUUACCCUAGGGAUAACAGCGCAAUCCUCUUCUAGAGACCUUAUCGACGAGAGGGUUUACGACCUCGAUGUUGGAUCAGGACAUCCUGAUGGCGCAGCCGUUAUCAAGGGUUCGUUUGUUCAACG
This 542-nucleotide ribosomal RNA is filed under the name Nemanthias carberryi. RNAcentral's name for it is "partial 16S ribosomal RNA". It matches the Rfam family "Bacterial large subunit ribosomal RNA", at positions 1846 to 2586 of the family's 2925-position model. Lineage: Eukaryota; Metazoa; Chordata; Actinopteri; Perciformes; Anthiadidae. The record is from RNAcentral.